CUUGAAUAUUCUGCUAUUCUAAAAAAGCACAGAAACAUUGCUUAGAAUUCUGUACUUAAUCGGUUAAACUCUUUAGGCAAAUAAUUUCUGGCACCAGCUCUGUACUGGCCUUUUUGUGGACCACUCAAUACAAUAUGACUGCCAGUGGAUCUGUAUGGAAGCCAGCACUCCCCUUGCCUGUCCGCCAAUCACGUGGCAUCCCAAUCUGGUGGACCACCACCUUGCCCAAUCUGGAUGCUUCUGGCAGAGACACUGGCCACUGCGAUCCCACCUCCUUUUAGAACACAGUACCAGUGAUGUCAUGCAAUAAAUCUUGGUGUUUCUUAGUUUUCU
Pelobates cultripes (western spadefoot toad) is the source of this 333-nucleotide non-coding RNA. The record is from the annotation of a GenBank genome assembly. Lineage: Eukaryota; Metazoa; Chordata; Amphibia; Anura; Pelobatidae.